This 218-nucleotide unclassified non-coding RNA is filed under the name Hevea brasiliensis (rubber tree). Lineage: Eukaryota; Viridiplantae; Streptophyta; Magnoliopsida; Malpighiales; Euphorbiaceae. The record is from RNAcentral.
GUACAAAUAUUGACAAGAAGGUUUCACAAGCAGAACUGAAACUGUUUUUUGAGUCGAUAUGCGGAGAGGUUUACCGCUUGAGGCUGCUAGGAGACCAACAUCAUUCCACCCGCAUUGCUUUUGUAGAAUUUGUCAUGGCCGCAAGUGCAAUUGCUGCUCUCAGCUGCAGUGGUGUGGUCCUGGGAUCCUUCCCGAUACGGGUGAGCCCCUCGAAGACU